Asparagus officinalis (garden asparagus) is the source of this 6189-nucleotide long non-coding RNA. RefSeq lists it as uncharacterized. The transcript is spliced from 4 exons. Lineage: Eukaryota; Viridiplantae; Streptophyta; Magnoliopsida; Asparagales; Asparagaceae. The record is from RefSeq and is a predicted model, not a curated record.
GGAUCGAUUUUAUCGUUUUCUAUUCUAUUAAUCUGACCUUUUUUGGUUUUUUGGUUGAUAUUUUAAAGAUUAGAUUUGGAUCUUUAGUUUUCUGGUAACUUCUGAUCACUGAAUCUUCUGUUGAUCUUAGAUCAAACGAUUUAUUAGGUUUUUUUGGGUUGAUUCUAACCUCUGACGGGUUAUUGGCUCUUUAAUUUUUAUCGAUCUCCUUAUUUUGUUUUAUGAUGUCCGAUUUAGAUCUCGAUCAUGAUUAUUCUCUUUUAUAUUGAUUUUACCGUUGUCUAUGUCUCUGGCCUAUCAGGUUUUGCCUAUGAUUUGCCAGCGCUGACCUUAUCUUCUUCUUGUUUUGAUUCAUCUCGUGUUAUUUGGAUCUUUAAUAUAUGUAAGGUACUGAUUAUUAUGGAGUUAGGACUCUAGUUUUGCUUACGCUGACCUUAUAUUCUUUUUACUUAUUUUGAUUUGUCUUGUGCAGUUUGGAUCUGGAUGCCGAAUGUAUGUAGGAUAUCUAUGUUGGAUUGUUGUUCAUCGAAUUAACCAGUCCUUUUCGUUAAUAUUUUACCAUAAAUUGGCUUAGUAUUUUACCAUAAAUUGGUUAACUUGAUCGUUGAUUAUUGGAUAAACAUGUGUUCUAAUGCUAACUUCACAAUCUUUCUACUUAUUUUGUUUGUUCUUGUGCAAUUUGGAUCUCUAUUUUAGAUCAAUUUCAUCUAUUUUUCUUUUUUUUCUUUUUUUUUCUUUUUUUUGGGGGUGCCUGGCGUGUUAAAUAUAAAUCUGCUAACAUUCUUAUAACCAUUCUAUUUGUCGUGGCCCUAAUUCAUAACUGUUAUAAUUAUUUGGUAUGCUAUCGUUGAACUAAUAACCGUCUAAUUGUUUUGAUUGUACUAUAGGGUUCUGACUGUGCUGGAGUUAGAUCUGUCUUUAGAUCAGUUUUAUCAUUCUGUGCUCUGCUGAUCUGACUUCUUUUGGUUGUACCUUAAUUGGAUCCCAAACACACAAUUCUUGGGGUAUCUGGUAUGUUAACGCUGACCUUAUGUGAUUUGGUCGUUCUUGGACAUGCUUAGGGCAUUGCUCGCUGUUGAUAUUUUCAGAUGGUUAAUGGGAUUAGUCCUGGUAGUAGUGCCGUUGAUUCUGAUAGGUGUUCUAUGGUUUUGAUAUACCAGACUGAAGAUCCUUUCCUGAGCAGUCUUGAGAUAUGUACUGUAAGAUUUUUGGUGUCCAACUUAGGCACUGUAUGAUUUUUUCUGUCCAAUUCUUCUUUUAUGAAUUUUGAUCUGGUAGAUGGCAAGGAAUAGGUUUCUUUUCAAUUUGGAAGCUUCGGUUCGAAGAGUGGCCGUGGACAGUAUCUGGUACAUACCUUUGGUUAGCUUAACUGUAAGUUGGUCAGUUCAGUUCAGUUCAGUUCUGUGAUUGAUAACGGUAUUUUAAGCUAAUUCUCUAGUCCUUUGAUUAGUCUGCCUGAAGCAAUGCACAAGUUUAUGUACAGAGUCGUUUCAAUUUUCUUCUUCCUUAUUCUCAGAAGAUUAGUUUAUGUCUUGAGGACUUGAUAUUUUUUUAGAGAGCAACCUUGGCUUAGGCAGUGUAAGUUCUGGUUUUGAUCAGCCAGACGAAGAAGAAUAUCUUUAUCAUCAUUUUGGACUUCUGUUUUCAAUAAUAGGAAGUUCGGAUGUUAAGUGGCACUGCUAGCUUUUUGUUUCCAUAUGCUUUACGCUUUCACAUCGCAAGUUAAAUGAUAGAAAGUUUGGGGCAUUAGUUGACUGACACUGCAUGUUUUUUUGUUUGUCUAUGCUUUACGCGUUUACAUCGCAAGUUUGUUUCUCUUUACCUCAAUACUUCUAAUCUGUUAGAUGGUGAAGAACAACUUUUUUUCAUUAGUGAGGUUCUCAUUUCAGAAAUCGUGAAGAAUAUCUUUUAUGGGGCAAGCUUGGGCUAUAUGCUAUCUGUUUUCUGUUGCCCAAUAAAUUUUUUUUAUCGUCGUCUUUGAUUUUGACGAAUAAUAUUUGCAAGUUAUGGUCAGGGCUCAAAUCUUUUAAGGAACAACCUUCCAUAUGGCGAUGUAAGUUCUCUGUUGCCGGGUUAACCUAGCAUGGUUUUGAUUCAGCAGAUUAUCUCGUUAAUUUUUAGGAGUGGGUUUCAUAAUGCUCUGAGGACUUCAUCAUUAACAAAGCAAACUUAGGUUAUGCACUACCAGUUCUUUUCUGUUUGGACUACUUCGUCUAUGGUUUUGAGCUGCCAGAUUGUAGAAUAGUUUGCAUCAGGUAGGAGUUCUGGAGUUCUGGUUUAAUCAACAAGAUCGUAACAAUAAAUUGUUCGUCUUUUAUCAUUAUUUGUUUCAUUUCCUGCCUCACUAGGUUUCUUGUUCAUUUAUCGUGAUUCUUUUUGGGAUCUUUGACAUUAUGUCUUAUUAGAUGGAUGAAGGGUGGCAUAAUGCACUGAUUUUGGCUUAUGUUCUAUAUUCUAUUGGUUUGUUCUAUUGGUUUGUUGUAUGGCUCUGAUUUGCCAGACUGUGGAGUAGAGAGCAAUCCAGAUGGUCUUGAGGACUGGAGAUUAUUUAUGGAGCAAUCUGGAGUUGGGCACUUUCUAUGCUUUCGAGCCGUCAGAUUCAUUGUGAUUCAUGAGUUCAUCUUCUUUGAAGAAUAAUAUUUGCAAGUUACGGUCAGGGCUCAAAUAUUUUAAGGAACAACCUUCCAUAAGACGAUGUUAGUUCUCUGUUGCCCAGUAAUCCUGGCAUGGUUUUGAUUCAGCAGAUUAUCUCGUUAAUUUUUAGGAGUGGGUUUCAUAAUGCUCUGAGGACUUCAUCAUUAACAAAGCAAACUUAGGUUAUGCACUACCAGUUCUUUUUUGUUUGGACUACUUCGUCUAUGGUUUUGAGCUGCCAGAUUGUAGAGUAGUAUGGAUCAGGUAGUAGUUCUGGUUUAAUCAACAAGAUCGAAACAAUAAAUUGUUCAUCAUUUAUCAUUAUUUGUUAUUUGUUUUAUUUCCUGCCUCGCUAGGUUUCUUGUUCAUUUAUCGUGAUUUAUUUGGGAUCUUUGACAGUGUCUUAUUAAAUGGAUGAAGGGUGGCGCUAUAUGAUAAUGCACUGAUUUUGGCUUAUGUUCUAUAUGCUUCUGUGCUUUUAAUCUGGCAGAUUCAUCGUGAUUAUCAUUUGCGAGUUCCAGUUCCAAAAGUCAUGAAGAAUAUCGUUUACUCAAUCCUGUGUUAGGUACUGUAAGUUCUCUGUUGCCCUGUAAAUUUUCUCAGUCCCCUGUGGUUUUGAUUAUCCACAUCAGCCAGAUGGUGAAGAAUAGCUUGGUCAUCUUGAGGGAUUUCAAACUUCUUAAGGAACAAUUCAUUAGGUACUGUAAGUUCUCUGUUGUCCGAUAAUCCUUGGUUUUGAUCCGGCAGAUGGUGACGAAUAGCUAAAUUAUUAUUUCUGAGCCUUGAUAUCAAAAAGCCCUGAGGACAUAUUAACAUUUAUAGAAUUAUUUAUUAUCAUUUAUAGAAUUAUCUUGGAUUUUUGUGCGGUCAGUUGUUUUUGGUUCAUUAUACUUCUUCUGUGGUUUCGACCUGCUAGAUGAUGAAGAACAGCUUGGUUGUUUGGAAGUUUCGGUUUCCUGUGGACUUGUGGAACCUUGGGCUAGGCACUAGGAUUUUGUGUUUCCGUCCUCUUCUAUAGUUUUGAUCUGCCAGAUUGUGAAGAAUAGCUUGGAUUGUCAGUUGGGAUUUCACAGAGGAACCUUUCAUUAGGCGCCAGAAGCUUUUUGUUGCCCGGUAAUUCUAUGGCUUUGAUAAGAAUAGCUUGGUUGUUGGUUGGGAGUGUCUACCAAUGGCAGCCUUGUGUUAGGCACUGUAAACCCUUUGGUGCCCAGUAGUUCUUCUAUAUAUUUUGAUUGGCCAGAUGACAUAGAAUAUCUUGAUUGUCAUUUUGGAGCUUUGGUUUGACAAAGUAAUGGGGCUCUUAUAUGGAGCAACGUAGCGGUCGGCAUUGUGAGCUUCUUGUUGCCAAAAAAUUCAUUUAUGGUUUUGAUUUGCCAGUUGCCCAGAACUGAUUAUCAUUUGGGUGCUUCAGUUCAGAUCCUAUGGACUUGACAUGUAAUUCUUACGGAGCAACCUUGGUUUUGGCACUGUAAGCUUCUUAGUUUCUGGAUACGUAUUGUACCAUAAUCUGUUGCAUUCAGUUCUGCAAUAUAGUCUGCAAUAUUGUCAGCACACGCUGCUAUCCUUUUGUUAUGCACCAUAAGAAUCACCCUCCUGCCCUUCCCCCCCUUCGUGUGGAAUUCUAUCGCUGCAUUUGGUUGCCACCAAUUCCUAUGGCUUUAAUCAAUCAAUUGGUGGCUGCAUUUUGUUGCCACCAAUUUCAAUGGCUUUAAUCAAUCAAAUGGUGGAAGAGUAGAUUGAUUGUUAUUUCAGAGUUCUAGCUUCAAAACAUCACUGAAAUCUUGUGUUUGGCACUUUAAGCAGCAGUAAGAUAUUGAAGAAGAGCUUUAUAGGAGUUCUGGUUUGGAAAAAACCCUGGGGACGAGGACUCUUUUACAGAGCGGUGUCUGCGUUAGGCGUUGUAAGUUUCUUGUUGCCCAAUGAUUCUUUUCAUAGUUCUGAUCUGCCAGUUUGAGAAUGGACUAUAAUUUGGGAGUUCCUUCUUCAAAGUCCAGGGACUUCACUGCCCUACAGAGCGACCUUGCGCUAGGAACUAUGGUGAGGAGUGGCUUGUUCAUUGUUCGGAGGCUUUGGUUUUAGAUGGUCCCGAGCUCAUAUCUUUUAGGCAGCUCAUAUCUUUUAGGCACUGUAAGUUUUUGUUGCCCGAUGAUUUUUCUGUAGCUUUGAUCUGUGACUUGGUAAUGUAGUUUUAUCAUUAUCGGAACUUUCGGUCACGACUCGAUCUCUUACGGGGCAACCUUGGGCUUAACUUUGUAAGUUUUCUUUUGCUCAAUAAUAUCCUAUGUAUCGGUUUAGCUCAGUUCUGUGAUCCGUAGUUUUGCGAUCUUGGACAGUAAGUGUUUUGUUGCUCAACAAUAUCCUAUGUAUUUGUGUAGUUCAGCUCUGUGAGCUGUAGUUAUGAGAUCUUGGACAGUAGAUGAAGUAUCAUAGGAAGCUUGCACAUUAUUCGGCAAUGUAAAUUGUCCACAAUACUUGACGAUGUAAGUCUGUGUUUGCUGUACCUCCUUUUUAUCUGGCAGAUGGUGCAGACCACCUUGUUAGACAUUAGCGGUUUCAGUUUCAUGAAGUCUUGAGCUCUUGAUAAAUUUAAUGUCAGCCAGGGCCAGGGGACAUACGCUGCAGGGGCCAUGCGCUGUAAGUCUCUUGUUACAGAACCAUUAUUUAUGGUUUGGUAUGACAGAUGGUGAAGAACAACCUUCUUGCGUUCUCUGUUUCAAAAAAUUCUGAGAACGAUAUGGAGCGACCUUGGGUUCGGCAUUGUAAGCGUCUUGUCUGUAAGCUUUUGUUUCCUUAUACCUCUUCGAUGGUUCUGCUAGAUAGUGAAGAAUAGCUUGAUUAUAAUCUAUGAGCUUUGGUUGCAAAAGGUUCUACACUUCUUAUGGAGCAGCCUUUUGUUAGGCACUGUAAUCUUCUUGUACCUACCUCUUUGAUUGUUUUGCUCUACCAGGAUGUGAAGAAUAGCUUGAUUAUCAUGAUGGAGCUUUGGCUUCAAAAAGUUCUGAUGUUUAGAGAUCUUUCAUUGAGCAAUAAUUCUUUGAUAUGGUUUUGAUUGCCCAAUAAAUCUUCUAGUGUUUUGAUUCACCAGAUGGUGAAGACUUGGUAGCUUGUCAUUUGGGAGUUCUGGUGUCAAAAUGUUUAGAGGGCUCGAUAUCUCUUGUGGAGCGCAAUGUGUGAGGCACUGUCAAGUUUCUUGUUGCCUAAUAAUUCUAUGGGGCUGAUCUGCCUGGAGUUAAUUAUCUUUUGAGAGUUUUGGUCUGAGAGUCCAAAUAUUCUUGAGGACUUGACAUGUUUUAUUGAACAACCUUGGGGGAAGCAUUGUAAGCUUCUUGUUUUCCUGUACCUCUUCUAUGGUUUUGAUCUGCCUAAGUUCGGUGGACUUGAGAUAUUUCGCGGAUGAUCUUCUGUGAUUUGAUCUGCAUAAGAAUAUCUUACGGCUUAUAAUUCUUGUAUGUUUCUAAUCUGUCAGAUGGUGAAGAUUAAUUGUCAUUUGGGAGUUUUUAGUUUCAAAGAGAGCUGAGGACUUGGUAAAUCUUUUACGGAACGACUGUGGUUUAG